AUUUUGCAAUGAAAGGUGCCACUGUGCUGUUCUUAGAGAUGCUAAAUAAUUCACAUCCGAUAGGUUUCAACACAUCUUAUCUGAUAAAUUGUGAUUUUCUUAAAUUGAGAUUGAGUUGAAAUGUGUUGAAUUUUUUAAAAAGAAACAAGAUUUGGUUAGAAAUGUGUUUAAAGUGUUUUAUCUUGACCCAUUUCGAGGUGUUUAUGAAAGUAUAUAUUUUAUUAUUUAUUUAGUUUUAUACAUAUAUGUAUUAUAUUAAUGUAGUAAAUUUUACCUUAAUAUAAGAAAUUUAUAUUUUAUGCUAAACCUGAGAUGUCAAUGUAGCACUUUUUGUGAGGUUUUUUUUUUAAUUUUUUCUAUUUAACUUUUUCCCACUUUUUUAUUGUUUUUGUAUUUAUUUUUUUAGAUUAAUGUUAUCAGAAAAUAGGGCCAAUUAAGGUAUCCACAUUUCAUUUUUGUAUUUUUUUUCUUUCAUUUUCUUUUUCCUUAGAUAAAAUUUCCAAAAAAUACGAUGAAUAGAUAUAAUGGUAAUAACAACAAAAUAAAUCUUAUAUCUCAUAACUCUAUGAUCGAUUGUAAGAAAAACCAAAAAAAUAUUCAUAUUAGAUCACAGUUUUCAAUUUUCUUAUGCCAUUCAUUUCUAUGAAAAAAUAAACUUUUCAUCUACUUUUUUAACCUUCAUAUAAUUUCUUAUUACUUAUAUCUAUGUUUUCCAUUGUUUACCUCUUAAAUCUUAAAGCUCAUUUCUCCUAAAUGGUGCAUAGAUAGCCCUACAUUUUGCAUGCUCAGACUAUUUCAAAUGAUACUCUCUUUUCUUUUCCUUAGCAAUCCUGCUUGAAUCCUAUGAUUUAUAACCCUUUCUAUCAUAGUAUCGCUCAGAAUAAUUAAUCCUAAAUAUAAAAAAUAACUACUAUUUGAUUCUACCUUACUAUCCAAUUUAAUCGCACUAUCACUCACUUCUUUAUGAUCUCUAAACUUACAUUUCAUAUAUUUAGUUUUAAAUUUACUCAAUUUAAAGCCUCAAGACUCCAAUAUAUGCCUCCAUAAUUCUAAUUUUGUAUUAUGAUCAUCAUUAGUUUCAAUAACUAAGAUUAUAUUAUCAAUAAAUAACAUGCACUAUGGCACCUUGUCUUGGAUAUGUUUAGUGAGCUUGUCCAUAACUGAUGCAAAUAGAAAUUGACUUAAUAUUGAGUCUCGAUGCAAUCCCAAGGUAAUAGGAAAGCCAUCAAUAAUGCCUCCAAACAUCUUCACAUUCAUUGCAACUCAUUUAUACAUAUCUUUAACUAUAUUAAAGCACUUUAAAGGAACUCUUAUUUUCAUUAAGACCCACCAAAGCAUCUUUUGAGAAAUUCUAUCAUAUGCUUUCUUUAAAUUGAUAAAUACCAUAUGUAAAUUUUUCAUUCUCUCCCAAAAACCUUCCAGCAAAUGCCUAAAUAGGUAAAAGCCUAAAUUGGUUUUCAAAAAUAACGACCUCAUGUCGCAACCUACAUUUAAUUACUCUCUCUAAAAGUUUCAUAGUAUAACUCAUAAACUUUAUUUCUUGAUAGUUUGAAUAAUUUUGUAUAUCACCUUUAUUCUUGUAUAAAGAUACUAGAGUACUCGUCCUUUAUUCUUCUAAUAUCUUUUGAAUAUGUCAAAUUUUAUUAAAAAGAUCCUUUAACCAUCCUAUCUUUAUUUCACCUAAAUAUUUUCAAACUUUAAUUAGGAUUCCAUUAAGUCCUACAGCUUUUUUUACUUUCACCAUUCUCAAAGCAUCUUUAAUGUUAUACCUUUAAAUAUUCCAUUUAAACAUAUGAUUUAUAUCCUUAAAAGGUUUGAUUUUAUUAAUAAGAGAGGUGGACAAAUCGUUGCUUGAUUGAGAUCCACAAAUAGGGAUCUUACCUCUGAGUCCGCUAGCGGAUAGGUAGUAUCCAUCGUGAAAAGAUUGAUUCGAGUAGAAAUCUAGCUGCCCUUCCUCACUGACAGCGUUCUAUCCUACUGGGGUCGAUUGUUACUUUUUUUUUCACCCCAUAAUUUUAGCCACCUCGGUAUCCAAAAGCAAAGAGCAAAAAUGACUGCUCGAGAAGGCGGAGCCCCUUUUGGCUACUGCAAGCAAUAAGCCCAUUUAUAUCAUGCUCAAAAUUGCCACUAAAGAGAUUAUCAAAAUAAUCUCUCAAUUUCUUUUUAAUCUCUUCAUCCUUCACUAUUUUGCUACUACCUUUGAUGCAUCUUGUGUCAUUAAGAUCCUUACUUUUGUUAUCCCACUUUUUAGCUAUUUUCAACAACUUUUUUUCUUCAUCUAUUGUCUUUAGUUUUCAAUGUAAUUUCUCAUAAAUCCUAGUCUUUGAAUCUCAAAUAGCCUUUUCGACUUCCUUUUUUAUUAUCUUAUACUUCAUAUAACUUGUCUCAUCUUUAUUGUUUCUUAAAUUCCUAUAACACUCG
Molecule: long non-coding RNA, 2421 nt
Filed under: Durio zibethinus
Lineage: Eukaryota; Viridiplantae; Streptophyta; Magnoliopsida; Malvales; Malvaceae
Description: long non-coding RNA (DZIB_LNC001733)
Source: RNAcentral